GACGAACGCUGGCGGCGUGCCUAACACAUGCAAGUCGAACGGAGUUUCCAGCAAUGGAUUCUUAGUGGCGAACGGGUGAGUAACGCGUAGACAACCUACCGCUUAGAUGGGGACAACACUGCGAAAGUGGUGCUAAUACCGAAUGUUGUAUCGAAGUUGCAUAACUUUGCUACUAAAGAUGGCCUCUAUUUAUAAGCUAUCGCUGAGUGAUGGGUCUGCGUCUGAUUAGCUAGUUGGUGAGGUAAUGGCUCACCAAGGCCACGAUCAGUAGCCGGUCUGAGAGGAUGAACGGCCACAUUGGGACUGAGACACGGCCCAAACUCCUACGGGAGGCAG
This 336-nucleotide ribosomal RNA is filed under the name uncultured Bacillota bacterium. RNAcentral's name for it is "bacterial SSU rRNA". It matches the Rfam family "Bacterial small subunit ribosomal RNA", at positions 28 to 351 of the family's 1533-position model. Lineage: Bacteria; Bacillati; Bacillota. The record is from RNAcentral.